Molecule: small nuclear RNA, 21 nt
Filed under: Arabidopsis thaliana (thale cress)
Lineage: Eukaryota; Viridiplantae; Streptophyta; Magnoliopsida; Brassicales; Brassicaceae
Description: snRNA_17477
Source: RNAcentral
AACCUCCGCCACUCGUGGCGC